Sarcophilus harrisii (Tasmanian devil) is the source of this 4357-nucleotide RNA transcript. It is a transcript of the gene named semaphorin 4C, with no coding region annotated. The record is from RefSeq and is a predicted model, not a curated record. Lineage: Eukaryota; Metazoa; Chordata; Mammalia; Dasyuromorphia; Dasyuridae. The transcript has 16 exons.
GGGCUGUUGGGGGGCUGUUGCUCGCGCCCUGCGCCGGGGCAGGCGCUGGUCGCCGGGGGCUGCUUUGUGCCCCGGCUCUGGAACCUCCCUCGCGGGGGAGGGGCUGCGUUUGGGGGGCCGGGGAUGCUGCGGCGCCCCCGUAGCUCCGGCACAAGUGGUCCCGGGGGGCUCUCCCCCGAUCCCGUCCCCCUGGCACGGCGCGCCCGGAGCUCCGCGCUCCGGAGAGACCUCCCGGUCCGGGGGCUGAGGGGCGGGAGGGCUCCCGAACCCUGCUUUCUCGCUAGGGUCCGACACCUGGGGGGGUCUGGCGGGGGUCGUCCGCGAACCCAAGCAGGCAGCAUCCGGCUCCGACCCCUGGGCCCCUCGGCCUGGGGCCCCCCGCCUCGCUCCCCCCGCCCCACCGGCGAUGGAAAGUUUGGGGCGGGCUCCGGCCGCGCCGGUGCCGGGAGAUCGGGUUUCCCCGCGGCGCCCCCCUCCCCCCGCCCCCAGCGCUUCCCGGGGGGCCGAGCCCGCGAGCGAGUGGGGCGGGUAGGAGACAGGCUCUCCCCCAGACUCCCGAGCCCAGCUCCUAGAGAAGAGCUCUCGCUCGCUGCGCACGGCUCCGGAGGGAGCGCAGGUCGCCCGCGGCAGGGGAGCCGUGAGCGCCCCGGCAGGAGCGGCCGGGCGGGGGCCGGGGGUCCCCGGAGCACCCACCGCCCCCCUCCCCCGGGACCUGCGGCAGGGCAUCGGGCGCAGAGCCGAGGGCCGGGGGCAGGCACCAUGGACCCAUGCUUGGGCGUCUGGCUGGUGGCGUCGGCACUGCUGGGCCUGGGCUAUGGGGACGAUGCCUGGUGGAACCCUGUGCCUAGGAAGACCGUGUCCUAUGAGGAGUUGGCAGCUGUGGUAAGGCGGUUCUCUCAAGUGGGCAUCCAAGACUUUCUAACGCUGACGCUGGCUGAAAGCAAUGAGGUCCUCUAUGUGGGGGCCCGAGAAGCCCUUUUUGCCCUCAGCUUGGAGACCCUGGAGCUGCAGUCAGUGAUUUCAUGGGAGGCUACAGUGGAGAAGAAGGCUGAAUGUAUCCAGAAAGGGAAGAGCAACCAGACGGAGUGUUUCAACUUCAUCCGCUUCCUGCAGCCGUACAACUCUUCACAUUUGUAUACCUGUGGAACCUACGCCUUCCAACCAAAGUGCACCUACAUUAACAUACUCACCUUCUCUCUGGAGCAUGGGGAGCUUGAAGAUGGGAAGGGCAAAUGUCCCUAUGACCCAGCCAAAGGCCACACUGGCCUCAUUGUGGAUGGUGAAUUGUAUUCAGCAACACUCAACAACUUUCUGGGUACAGAACCAGUAAUUCUGCGCAACCUGGGGCCUCACUACUCCAUGAAGAAUGAGUACCUUUACUCUUGGCUCAAUGAACCCCAUUUUGUAGGCUCUGCCUAUGUUCCAGAAAGUGUGGGGAGCCCCACAGGGGAUGACGACAAGAUCUACUUCUUCUUUAGUGAGCGAGCCGUGGAGUACAAUUGCUAUGCUGAGCAGGUGGUGGCUCGAGUGGCUCGAGUUUGCAAGGGAGAUAUGGGAGGUGCACGGACCCUGCAGAAGAAGUGGACGACGUUCCUAAAGGCCCGGCUGGUAUGUGCCGCUCCAGAUCGGCAGCUCUACUUCAAUCAGCUUCAGGCCCUGCACACCCUGAAAGGAGACAAUUGGCUCAACACAACCUUCUUUGGGGUCUUUCGGGCCCGAUGGGGAGAUGUGGAUCUGUCAGCCAUAUGCCAGUACCAAUUAGAAGACAUUCAGCGAGUGUUUGAGGGGCCGUACAAAGAAUAUCAGCAACAAGCACAGAAAUGGGGGCCUUACACUGAUCCAGUCCCUAGUCCUCGGCCUGGCUCAUGCAUCAACAAUUGGCACCGACGACAUGGUUAUACCAGUUCUCUGGAGUUGCCUGAUAACACCCUUAACUUUGCUAAGAAACAUCCACUGAUGGAGGGACAGGUGGUACCUCGGUGGGGUCGACCCCUGCUGGUGAAGAAGGAUACUAAUUUCACUCACCUAGUGGCUGAUCAAGUGAAGGGACUUGAUGAUGUGACCUAUGAUGUGCUGUUCAUUGGAACAGGGGAUGGCUGGCUCUACAAGGCUGUGAACUUGGGUGCUUGGGUCCAUGUGAUUGAGGAACUACAGGUGUUUGAUAAGGAACCAGUAGAGAGCCUUGUCCUGUCCUAUGAUAAGAAGCUGCUCUUUGCUGGUUCACGGUCACAGCUGGUUCAACUUCCCUUAGCUGACUGCAGCAAGUACAGAUCCUGUGCCGACUGCAUCCUCUCCCGUGAUCCCUAUUGUGUUUGGAGCACCAACACCAGUCGAUGCGUACCUCUUCGUGGUCACCUUAAAUCUCCAUUUAUCCAGGAUGUGGUGAACUCAAAUACAGGCCUUUGCAACCUUCGACCCAACAAGAAAGUUAAAAUCACUCCCAAGAACAUCACUGUGGUGUCGGGUACAGAUUUAGUGCUGCCAUGUCGCCUUUCCUCUAACCUAGCACAUGCUCGUUGGACUUUUGGGGGCCGGGAACUCCCAGCUGAGCAGCCCGGCUCGCUGCUCUACGAUGUCCGACUGCAGGCGCUGGUGGUGUUGGCGGCCCAGCCCCGCCACGCUGGUGCUUAUCAUUGUUUCUCUGAGGAGCAGGGAGCACGGCUGGCUGCUGAGGGCUACCUGGUGGCAGUGGUAGCCGGUCCAUCAGUGACGCUGGAAGCUCGGGCCCCCUUGGAGAACCUGGGGUUGGUGUGGCUUGCAGUAGUAGCCCUGGGGGCCUUGUGCUUGGUACUGUUGCUUCUGGUGUUAUCACUUCGACGCAGACUACGUGAAGAGUUAGAGAAAGGGGCCAAAGCAGCUGAGAGAACCCUGGUAUAUCCGCUGGAGUUGCCCAAGGAGCCCACAAGCCCUCCCUUCCGGCCUGGGACUGACCCUGAUGAGAAGCUUUGGGACCCAGUUGGUUAUUACUACUCAGAUGGUUCACUAAAGAUUGUACCUGGUCAUGCCCGCUGCCAGCCCGGUGGAGGACCCCCUUCUCCACCUCCUGGAAUCCCAGGCCAGCCCCUGCCUUCUCCGACCCGACUUCACUUGGGGGGUGGACGCAGCUCCAAUGCCAAUGGUUAUGUGCGGCUGCAGCUGGGUGGAGACGACCGGGCGGGACCUGUGCAUCCUUUGCCCGAGUUGGCAGAUGAACUGAGGCGAAAACUGCAGCAGCGCCAGCCGUUGCCUGACUCAAACCCUGAAGAGUCAUCUGUAUGAGAGGAGCCCCCCCACAAUGGGGGGGUGCAGCUCCGACUUUUGCACAGGCACCAGCUACCUCAGGGACAUGGCUGCAGGCACCUGCUUUGCCCGGGAUAGACCCUAGCUAGGGAAUUGCCCUGUCUAGGUUGGCUCCUAUCCAGCAACCUGCUCUGCCAUGGAGACCUGCCCUGCUCACCAUGGGCUCUGCCAUGUGGGUUUGCUCUGUUCUGGGCUUUUGCCUUCUGGGCAUCAACCCCACAAAUGGCCUCUUCUUUACAUAGAGAGGAGGCCAAGGAUCCUGCAGACAGACCUUUGGCCCCAGCAGCCAAAAUCUUUUCAAGACAGAAAUUCCAGUCUUCCCUGGCCUGGGGCCUUCCUAGGGGCUUCUUCCUGGACCUAUGAAGGGGAAGAGGCCCGGGGUUGUACCACUCUGCCUUCUUUGCCCCCGCCUGCCCAGAGGCCUGUGAUGGUAUAUAACCACUUCUCAAGGGAAGGAGGAAUAGUGGGGCAGAGAUGUACAUAUGGGGGUGGGAGAGGGAGGUAGGGUUGUACCCCCUUUGGAAAGUGACUGCUCAGGGGAGGGCCUGGGCCUGUUCUUAGGGCUGUGAAUGUUUUAAGAGUCAGGGGAGGGAGGUGGGGCCCUUUUGUGGGGGAUAGUGGGGAGGGGUUCCUACUUGGCCUUCAGGGGGCUCAGUGGUAUUUUAUACUUGUGGGGAGGGGGGUGGGGAAGGAGGGGGGUUGUGGCUUAUCCAACACAACCUCUCCCAGCAGGAGGAGUAGGGGUCCUAACAGUGUAAUUUAUUGUGUCCCUGCAUAUUUAUUUGUUGUAAAUAUUUGAAUAUUUUUAUAUUGCAAAAUAAAAGAGAAAAUAAGCCUAAGGCCAGUUCCUGGGAUGCCGGUCAGAGAUCUAUUCAGACUCUCCUAGAGUUUGAAGGAGGACAAAGAUGAUGAUGGCUAAGCACUGGAAAGGGAAGGCUUGGUGGGAAAAGGAGCUGGGAGUUUUAAGAAGCUAAGCAAGGGGUGGAUGAUGGAGGGGGGGGGAGCCCUUCCUUGUUCCAGAAUUAUAGGGUGGCGAAUCGGACUGUCGGCCCUGUGCUCUGCUGUGCUCUUUGUGGGG